UACCAAGAACUUUUUUAUGAACUCAUGCCUGAUCUUGUCAUCGAGUGUGGCACAUAUAAUGGAGGCGCAUCUGCUUAUUACGCGAUGUUGCUGAGUGUCAUAAAACCAGAGGCCAAAGUAAUAACUGUGGAUUACCAUGCAAACCCUGGAGACCCAACCUUUUAUAAGUCACUUCCUUUCAUACAGGAUAGGGUUACUUACCUCCAGAAAGGUGAUGGAGAUCUGGACCCAGAGCUAUUUGGUAUCAUUUCUGCCGAGGCCGCGAAAGCAAAGACAGUAAUUGUGUUCCUCGACGCAGACCACACAAAGAGCCAUGUUUUGCAGCAGUUGGAG
This 333-nucleotide long non-coding RNA is filed under the name Micromonas commoda. Its description in RNAcentral is "long non-coding RNA (MCOM_LNC000083)". The record is from RNAcentral. Lineage: Eukaryota; Viridiplantae; Chlorophyta; Mamiellophyceae; Mamiellales; Mamiellaceae.